UGAAAUUGAUAUAUGCAUUUGAGUGCUGCUUUUAUUAACUCUAUUUCAUUGACAGUAAUUAUAUCGAAUUAUAGAUAUCAUGAAUGUGGAAAGUAUGUAUAAUGACAAUAGAACAAUCGUCUUCAGUACACUAACUACUUUUGUAGGAGGAAAUAAUAUGCAUGAUUAUAUUUCAGUCAAUGACACUCCCAACUUAUUCAGCAC
RNAcentral lists this long non-coding RNA (204 nucleotides) under Elaeis guineensis (African oil palm). RNAcentral describes it as "long non-coding RNA (EGUI_LNC010396)". The record is from RNAcentral. Lineage: Eukaryota; Viridiplantae; Streptophyta; Magnoliopsida; Arecales; Arecaceae.